UUAAAGAUGGAUGCAGUGUAGAAAGUGGUUUCCUGGGAGUUCCAUGGAAGGGUGAUUGGUGCGACCCAUGAAUGGACCUUCUCAAUACUGGAAGUAUAUGAUAAGGAUUGAUAGAGGCGUGCACUGGAGGAGCAUUGACGUCCAUGAUAAGGGAAGGCACAUGAUCUAAUCAGAUCAUGUAUAAGGUAACCGGUUUAUAAUUACUAUUCGG
This 211-nucleotide long non-coding RNA is filed under the name Brassica rapa (field mustard). Its description in RNAcentral is "long non-coding RNA (BRAP_LNC008730)". The record is from RNAcentral. Lineage: Eukaryota; Viridiplantae; Streptophyta; Magnoliopsida; Brassicales; Brassicaceae.